Molecule: long non-coding RNA, 548 nt
Organism: Anoplophora glabripennis (Asian longhorned beetle)
Lineage: Eukaryota; Metazoa; Arthropoda; Insecta; Coleoptera; Cerambycidae
Exons: 3
Source: RefSeq, a predicted model, not a curated record
GCAGUGACGCAGUUGUUGUUGACGUUAGGUUCGCAGCUUUCCUAGAAAUGAAACUUUACUGGACAAGGACAAGGUUCUUUCUAUCGAAAAAGAAAAUUGGGUAUGGACAAAAAAUAACGUAAUUUGCUCUGAACACUUUAAAGCGGAUGAUUUUCUCCCCUUUUGUGGAAGAAAAAUAGUACGACCCAACUCUGCACCUUCCAUAAAAUUAUUUUGUGGUGUAUCUUCUUCCAUUUUAAGCAAGAGUACUUUAUCGAGUUCAAUUAAUACAGGAGCUUUGACCAAAUUGAUGUUACAAUCAAGUGAAUCAUCUUUGACCUAUAACGUUACUGAAGUUCGAGUAGGUACAACGUAAAAAGAAGAGACAACUGAAUUUAAGUGUUCAGAAUACAUCGAAUGGUAACACUAGUACUGAUAGUAGUGCUAAGAGAAGGAGUAUUAUGGCAAUGAAAACAUACUUUAAUGGAUAACUUUAAUAAUGAAAAUAUCUUUGCAGUACAUCUCCUUCAACAGUUGCAACGAAAAAUGUUAAACUGAAACGUAGACAG